UACAGAGGUCCCAAGCGUUUGUUCGGAUUCACUGGGCGUAAAGGGUGCGUAGGUGGUGAGGUAAGUCGGAUGUGAAAGCUCGGAGCUCAACUCCGAAAUGGCAUUGGAAACUACCUUGCUAGAGGGUUGGAGGGGGGACUGGAAUACUUGGUGUAGCAGUGAAAUGCGUAGAUAUCAAGUGGAACACCAGUGGCGAAGGCGAGUCCCUGGACAACUCCUGACACUGAGGCACGAAAGCUAGGGGAGCAAACAGG
RNAcentral lists this ribosomal RNA (254 nucleotides) under uncultured bacterium. Its description in RNAcentral is "partial 16S ribosomal RNA". It matches the Rfam family "Bacterial small subunit ribosomal RNA", at positions 524 to 776 of the family's 1533-position model. The record is from RNAcentral.